CCUCACCACGCUUGCGCGCCGCCUGCCCAAGGCCUCCGACAUUGCGGAGCGGUGCUCAGGCCCACCUGCAUGAUCUCCGCGAGUCCCCGCAACGACCCUGCCACGAGAGUGUCACCACAGUGACGGGAAGCCCACCGUGGACAAGGCAAACCGUCCCCCUUAGACAUAGGCCAGUUUGCAUGGCGAUCGAGUACGCACUCCGGAGCCAGACCGCCUGGGUUACCGUCCUGGCCUUGCCCGUCGCCGGUGGCAUAAGCCUGUGCAAGUUACUAACCUCGCUGAGGAGCAUUUCACUCAUCUGUAAAUGGGGGGUAAUGAUGCUGGCCACCGCAUAGGAUUAUACAAGCGACACCGGUGAAGUGCUGCAGAACCGUGCCCAGGCUGCCGUGAGUGCAUGCCGUUCUCUCUAGCAGCUCUGCGAGGUGGCCAUUCCUGCUCAAGAGGGAACUUAAGCCCGAAGAAGUUCAAUGAUUCAUGCGAGAAGAAGUAACUGGGCAGCAGUCACAGCAGGUGGGUUCUUCCUGCAAAGCUGAUACUUUUCCUACAGAACUUCCAUGCCUGGGGUUCAGAGAUGUGCAGCAACAUGUCCAUAUAACACAGGGGAUGAGAAAUUGUCUAGAACACAGAUCUUUUUUUUUUUCUCCCCACAGCUGCUGUAGGGGUCUACCCAGGUAUGACAGCUGCAUCUUAAGGUCAAAACUGUUGAACAGUAAGUUAAUUUGAUUAAAUGGGAUGACUUCAAAGCUCAUUGCUUAGAUCCUGGGGCUAAAUAGAAAUUGAUGCCUCCAAACGCAGGGGUAGUAAGCCACCAGUUAUUUGAAUGGGUGGUACAGGCUAUUCAUUUGUUCAUGAAAUAUGCUUUAAGAUUCUCCAAACACUCAUAAAAUCAACAUAAUCAACAGUUCCCCAAGGCCAAGCUGGUUUGGGUGACCCUCCCUUCUGGUUUGUCUUAUAAAAUGCUUUAUUUAUGUGCUACAAGGGCCCCACUUCAAAGUCUCAGUGGUUCCAAUGGUAAUGAGUGAAUAAUCCAGUUGAGCAAGUAAUCAAAGAACAAUAACAAUUGUUCUAACCAUAAAGCCCCCAGUUUGCAAUUACUUAGCAGUUUAAAUUCACUUCAUUUAGAAAAUUUUGCCUCUGAGGCAGGCUGAGACUCUCAUUCAGAGGCCAAUUAGAUUAAAUUAGGAGUGACACGUUAGCUGGGGAGACUUAAUUCAUUUUGGGUUAUUUGUAGCUUUAAUUAUAAUCCAGACACAGCCAGAGCCACAUUUUGGAACAUUUUCUUGCCUCUGUGGGUGCUGGAGGUGAUUGGAUCCCUGGGAGAGAUGUUCCAGGUGGCAUGUGGCCAGCCAAGUGACCGAAGGCUGCUUUGUCAUCAGACUCUGCUCUAGACCUAUUCUCCCAGCUGCUGUUGAAGACUCACAGGAAGUGAGCUUGUCUACAAGAUCUUCCUUUUUAAAAAGUAGCUUUAUUAAGAUAUAAUUAACAAAACAAACACAUUUAAAAUACACAAUUUGGUAAGUUUGACACAUGUAUAUACCUGUUUAAUUAUUCUCACAAUCAAACUAAAUAAACAUAUCCGUUGCUCUCCUAAAUUGCCCCAUAUCCCUUUGUAAUCUCUCCUACCUCGACCCCACACACUCAGGCAAACACUGGUCUGUUUUUUGUCACAGUAAUUUGUAUUUUCCAGGAUUUCACAUAAACAGAAUCAUACGAUAGGUACUCUUGUUCUUUCACACAGCAUGAUUACUUUGACAUUUGCCUAAGUUGUUUCUAGUAUCAAUAAUUGAUCCUUUUUUAUUGUUCCAUAGCAUUCCAUUGAAUUGAUAUACCACACUGUCUCUCUAUUCAGAUGUUGAGAAAUGUGGGCUGUUCCAGGUUGGGGUUGUUACAGACAAAGACGCUACACAAUUUAUGUGCAUAUGUUUUCAUUUCUCUCGGCAAAAUACAUAGGAAUAGAAUGGCUGGCUCAUAUGAUAGCUAUAUGGUUUGUUUUUCAGAAGCCACCAAACUGUUUUCCAAGCCAUUGUACCAUUUUACAUUGCCAUCAGCAUUGUAUGGAAAGUUCCAAUUGAUCUGCAUUCUCACCAGCACUUGCUAUAGUUAAUCAUUUAAAUUUUGCUUCUUCUUUUUUUUUUCUUUUGAGAGAGAAGGGGGGAGGGGCAAGAAGAAGAGAGAGAGAGAGAGAGAGAGAGAGAGAGAGAGAGAGAGAGAAGCUUAAGCAGGCUUCACGUUCAGCACAGAGCCCGACGCAGGGCUUGAUCCCACAAUCCUGGGGUCACAACCUGAGGCAAAAUCAAGAGUCAGAUGUUCAACUGGCUGAGCCAUCAGGGCGCCCCUCAAUUGUAGUCAUUCUAAUAGUGGUAUCUCAUUGUAAUUUUAACUUGCAUUUCAAUUAUGACAAUGAUAUUGAAUAUCUAUCUUUUCAUAUGCUUAUUUGUCAACAUGUGUCUUCCUCUCCCAAGUGUCUGCUCAAAUCUCUUGCUCAUUUUUAAAAUUUAGCUGUGUUCUUACUGAAUUUUGAAAGUUCUUUACAUAUUAUGCAUACAAGUGUUUUUAUCAAAUAUAUGAUUUGCAAAUAUUUUCUCCCAGA
Molecule: long non-coding RNA, 2590 nt
Organism: Neofelis nebulosa (Clouded leopard)
Lineage: Eukaryota; Metazoa; Chordata; Mammalia; Carnivora; Felidae
Exons: 3
Source: RefSeq, a predicted model, not a curated record